AUUGAACGCUGGCGGCAGGCCUAACACAUGCAAGUCGAACGGAUGAAGGGAGCUUGCUCCUGGAUUCAGCGGCGGACGGGUGAGUAAUGCCUAGGAAUCUGCCUGGUAGUGGGGGAUAACGUCCGGAAACGGGCGCUAAUACCGCAUACGUCCUGCGGGAGAAAGUGGGGGAGCUUCGGACCUCACGCGCUCAGAUGAGCCUAGGUCGGAUUAGCUAGUUGGUGGGGUAAGGGCCUACCAAGGCGACGAUCGGUAACUGGUCUGAGUGGAUGAUCAGUCACACUGGAACUGAGACACGGUCCAUACUCCUACGGGAGGCAGCAGUGGGGAAUAUUGGACAAUGGGCGAAAGCCUGAUCCAGCCAUGCCGCGUGUGUGAAGAAGGUCUUCGGAUUGUAAAGCACUUUAAGUUGGGAGGAAGGGCAGUAAGUUAAUACCUUGCUGUUUUGACGUUACCAACAGAAUAAGCACCGGCUAACUUCGUG
RNAcentral lists this ribosomal RNA (484 nucleotides) under uncultured bacterium. RNAcentral describes it as "partial 16S ribosomal RNA". It matches the Rfam family "Bacterial small subunit ribosomal RNA", at positions 30 to 507 of the family's 1533-position model. The record is from RNAcentral.